Labrus bergylta (ballan wrasse) is the source of this 927-nucleotide RNA transcript. It is a transcript of the gene named chromosome 1 C17orf67 homolog, with no coding region annotated. Lineage: Eukaryota; Metazoa; Chordata; Actinopteri; Labriformes; Labridae. The record is from RefSeq and is a predicted model, not a curated record.
AUCAGAGAGUGUUUCCAUGUCAAGAUGAUUCACCCCACCAACCGGAUAAAACGCGCAUGCGCACAUACAUCAACUCUAAAGCACAAAGAACUACGUAGAGUGGGAAAAGUUUUUCAAUUCUAUACAAAAGAAAUUGUGCAUUCCAUUAUUUGAGUCAAAUAAUUUGAAUUAUUAAGUUUAAGUGCUCAAGAAUGUCUACAGAGUUUGUCAGGGCGGGCAAACCAAGGGUGUUUUUGCUGCAUGGAGAUCCUUAUCCUGCCUAAUAAAAACGGAUAAAAUGUAUAGCCUAACUGAUUACAGGAGGAGGAGGAGAAUCUCCCCCUUUACCCCCUUUGGACUCUAGUCACGACUGCAGACCACAGGAGGCUCAGACAGAGAGAAGGUGAAGAAGAUGAAGACGCUGGUGGUAUUUUCGCUGUGCCUGGUCCUGCUGACCUUCUACACAGAUGCCAACCCUAUCAUCAAAGAGAGCUCUGCUAAGCAGCUGCUCCGCAGCAAGAGGCAGGAGCGACCAAUGAAGGCCGGCCACCCCGAUGAGCCAAUGAGGGAGCAUCUUCUGCACAUGCAGGCUCUGGAUCAGAGGGCCCAGGAGACCAAUAUGGAGAACUGGCUGAACCCUCACUGCUACCCCCGCUGUGACAGGAACUACGGAUACCCUGUGUGAUCAGGUCACCACUAGCGUCUACUUUCAGGACCAACUCCAAAUGUUUGAUGCACAUGAAAGCACACAGUAAUUGACAGACCACAAAUGAGGACAUGGAUUCCAGACGGAAACAAUAAAAGGAUGAAAUACUCUCUCCUGAAAUGACCUCUUGAUGUCUGCUGACUAACUCAUAUAUAUAAUCUAAUAACAGCUGUGUAGUUUAGUGUCUUUAACAUCUCUAUUGUGUUCUACCAACAUUUAUGAAUAAAUCAUAACGCAUGAGA